This 403-nucleotide ribosomal RNA is filed under the name uncultured bacterium. RNAcentral's name for it is "partial 16S ribosomal RNA". It matches the Rfam family "Bacterial small subunit ribosomal RNA", at positions 28 to 526 of the family's 1533-position model. The record is from RNAcentral.
GACGAACGCUGGCGGCGUGCCUAAUACAUGCAAGUCGAACGCAGUGGGGACGGGUGAGUAACACGUGGGUAACCUCCCAUCAGAGGGGAUAAACCUUGGCAACAGGUGCUAAACCGAUACUGAUGGAUGGACCCGCGGUGCAUUAGCUUGUUGGUGGGGUAACGGCCCACCAAGGCCAAGAUGCAUAGCCGACCUGAGAGGGUGACCGGCCAAACUGGGACUGAGACACGGUCCAGACUCCUACGGGAGGCAGCAGUAGGGAAUAUUCGGCAAUGGGCGAAAGUCUGAUGGAGCAAUGCCGCGUGAGUGAAGAAGGUUUUCGGGUCGUAAAGCUCUGUUAUUAGGGAAGCGGUAUCUAACCAGAAAGCAACGGCUAACUACGUGCCAGCAGCCGCGGUAAUUC